This is a long non-coding RNA of Pongo pygmaeus (Bornean orangutan), 2743 nucleotides long. RefSeq lists it as uncharacterized. The record is from RefSeq and is a predicted model, not a curated record. The transcript has 7 exons. Lineage: Eukaryota; Metazoa; Chordata; Mammalia; Primates; Hominidae.
UAUAUUUUCAUAAGUUGAUUAGUGCACAAAUAACCAAAGAAAUGUAUGAAUACACGAAGAAAAAUGGAACCAAGUAUGAACUAAGUAUGUCCUGUAUAAAGUUGCUCUUAUUUAGAAACAAAUUCUAGGAUUUUACUAGGGUCAGAUAGGCAUUUCUGUUCUAGAUUUCCGAAAAUGAAAAUAUUACUCAUUUUCUUGAAAAGGAAUAGAUGGUUGGAAAAAUUAAUUCAUUUGUUCCUGAAUUAUAAACUCAUUUAGACUAAUAAUGAAUGAGUUAAUAGAUAAAAAGGUCAAGAACUGACCACUCAUGAGAAUGUUAUAAAGCCAGGAAUGAGAAGCAGCUGAUUCUUUAAGGCAAAGCUAACUUGCAGAGAAUAGCAAGACGAUUACAUGUUUGAGUAGCGGCACUGGGGCCAAUAUGUCCCAUAGUCAGAUGUUUUUCUUAAUGCAGGUGAUGGAUUCAAGAGUGUUCACUAUUGAUGUAAAAUUCAUAACCGAAAUAAUUCAAUAAAUAAAAGGAGAGUGAGUCUAAUCUAAGGAUGGGGAGUGUCGUGAACCAGUGUUUGAGAUGAACCUAACCCUGAUCAUUUCAUAUUUAUUCAGACACAGCCUGAAUCUUUUUGUUUCUUACCUGUAACAUCUACUUUGUACUUCGCAGUGUUGAUGUUCAUGGGUGAUUGAUCAUCCUGUAGUGACGGUGGUAUUGACUGUUCCCCAAAGGACAAGGAGUGUGUUCUUACAAUGGACAUCAUGAUUGGGAUUGUCUUUAUUAAACUUUGUCAGGAGAGUAAAGAUGAAUGUGGCCGCGUGUUGUGGCUCAUGCCUGUAAUCCCAGCACUUUGGGAGGCCGAGGUGGGCGGAUCACCUGAAGUCGGGAGUUCGAGACCAGCCUGACCAACAUGGAGAAACCCCGUCUCUACUAAAAAUACAAAAUUAGCUGGGCAUGGUGGUGCAUGCCUGUAAUUCCAGCUACUCAGGAGGCUGAGGCAGGAGAAACGCUUGAACCCGAGAGGUGGAGGUUGCAGUGAGCUGAGAUUGUGCCGUUGCACUCCAGGCUGGGCAACAAGAGUGAAACUGCAUCUCAAAAGAAAAAAAAAAUAAAAUAAAAUAAAACAAAAAAAGAAAAAACCAGUGACUAAUAAAUCAACAAAUAUAGAAAUGGAUGAGGAAAAAGAUGUCAAGUCCUGAACUCGUGGUGAUGGCUGGUGGCAUAUUUAGUCAUAGAUGAUGAAUAAAUACAUGCCUGAGACUCUGAGAUGGAGGCUGUCUGCAUUAGGAGCAUGGAGACCAACAAUGGAUGCUCUUAAACUGAUUUAAACACGCUUCCAUGGUCACAAGCCUUAUGGUUGCCACGGGGCAUUAGGAGCAUGGAGACCAAUAAUGGAUGUCCUUGUUCUGAUUCGAGGAUGCCUCCAAGGUCACAUACUCUGUUUGCACCAUGCUUAGGAAGGAGCAUGAAGACCAAGGGGAGUAAUAGUCAAAGUCCUUACCUUCGUUUGGGUGGUUUGUUUAAGAGUAAUCAACGUAUUAUUUAAAAGUGUGAAAUAUAGUCAAAGAUGGCCAAUGUUAUUCCAGUGAUAUGGGAGUGACAUGAAGUAUUAUAUUGAUGAUGCAUAUAUAAAAAACAGGAUAGUUAAUGAAACACCCAAUGUUUGAGUGAUUCUGUAUACUGAUAUGGAAUAUCAAGAGUGUUACUGGGUUUUGUGAAUCAUGGGCCUUGAAAGUAUUAUUAAUGAAUAAACGACUUAAUCAAUAGACAAGGUAGAAAUGAAUAGCAAAAAAAAGAUCAACCCUGAAUCAAUGAUGACUACUGGUAGUGUACGAGUUACACAUGAUGAAUACAUGUCUGAAACUCUGAGGUCCAUCACAAAAGAAAUCUGGCCCAUUCCUUCUGAUUCAGGUGAUCCUAUGAAUAUACAAUGUGUUUGCUUUUCGUCUUUGGGUUUGUUCACUUCAUUGUGUUAUUAUAAUUGGAUCAAUGAAAUAAUUUAUACAUAUACAUGUAUGUAUAUGAAGGGGAUGAAGUAUUGUCCAAUUAUAAAAUGAUUGGUGAGGCAAGAUGUAUUAUUAUUAUUAUAUCAAAGCUUUAAUAUAUUAAAUAAAAAUAUAAUAUUAAUUAAUAUAUAAUUAAUGCAAUAUUUAAUAUAUAGUAAAUAUAAUAAUAUAUUAAAAUAUUAUAUUAAAGCAGUGAAGUCCUAAGAGAAAUAAAUGUUACACCACUGUAACGUCUUUGACUAAGGAUGAUACAGAUGGUAUUUAUAGAUAAUGGUCAACCUCUGGGUCAAGGAAAGUUGCACAAAGUGUUCAUUUUCUUAAGAGAAAAUGAAAUAAUUAUACUUCAGAUAAUGAUUUCUAAAAUAUUUUCCUAAAGGGAAGAUGAUAAACACAGAUCAAGGAGGAUUGUUUCAUCUGUUUGUGAUCUGCUCUGCUCUGUGAGCCUCAGGAUGGAUGUUUGCCAGCCGGUUCCAUGGUUACAAGCUCUAUAGCUGCACCUAUGUGUUAGGAGCAUGAAGACCAAUAAUGGAUGCACUGAGCUGAUUAUGAAUUUAGCCCUGAUCAAGACUUGUGUUGCUGUCAUGAAUGAUAUGAAAGAUUCCAGUGUGAGUAACAGCCAAGUUCUUGUGGUGUUUGGGUGGUUUGUUUAAGGAUAUUUACUGUGUUAUUGAAAAUAAAAAAAGUCAAAUAAUAUGUAUAUAUAUAUAAUGAAUAUCAAUGAUAGAAUUGAAUUAUGUGAACCAUAAAA